This 253-nucleotide ribosomal RNA is filed under the name uncultured bacterium. Its description in RNAcentral is "partial 16S ribosomal RNA". It matches the Rfam family "Bacterial small subunit ribosomal RNA", at positions 524 to 776 of the family's 1533-position model. The record is from RNAcentral.
UACGGGGGGGGCAAGCGUUGUUCGGAAUUACUGGGCGUAAAGGGCUCGUAGGCGGUCAACUAAGUCAGACGUGAAAUCCCCAGGCUUAACCUGGGAACUGCGUCUGAUACUGGAUGGCUUGAGAUUGGGAGAGGGAUGCGGAAUUCCAGGUGUAGCGGUGAAAUGCGUAGAUAUCUGGAGGAACACCGGUGGCGAAGGCGACAUCCUGGACCAACACUGACGCUGAGGAGCGAAAGCCAGGGGAGCAAACGGG